RNAcentral lists this unclassified non-coding RNA (379 nucleotides) under uncultured bacterium. RNAcentral's name for it is "contains 16S-23S intergenic spacer region". The record is from RNAcentral.
UCCGGCUUAUCACCGGCAGUCCCUCUAGAGUGCCCAACUGAAUGAUGGCAACUAAAGGCAAGGGUUGCGCUCGUUGCGGGACUUAACCCAACAUCUCACGACACGAGCUGACGACAGCCAUGCAGCACCUGUGUCCAGGUUCCCUUUCGGGCACACCCCCAUCUCUGGAGGCUUCCUGGCAUGUCAAGGGUAGGUAAGGUUUUUCGCGUUGCGUCGAAUUAAGCCACAUGCUCCGCCGCUUGUGCGGGCCCCGUCAAUUCCUUUGAGUUUUAGUCUUGCGACCGUACUCCCCAGGCGGGGCACUUAGUGCGUUAGCUACGGCACGGAACCCGUUGAUAAGGCCCCACACCUAGUGCCCAACGUUUACGGCGUGGAUUAC